This 473-nucleotide ribosomal RNA is filed under the name uncultured bacterium. Its description in RNAcentral is "bacterial SSU rRNA". It matches the Rfam family "Bacterial small subunit ribosomal RNA", at positions 355 to 825 of the family's 1533-position model. The record is from RNAcentral.
UGGGGAAUUGUUCACAAUGGGCGCAAGCCUGAUGACGCAACGCCGCGUGGGGGAUGAAGGUCUUCGGAUCGUAAACCCCUGUCGAAUGGGACGAAAGACUCGCGAGUGAAUACUUCGCGAGAGUGACGGUACCGUUAAAGGAAGCCACGGCUAACUCUGUGCCAGCAGCCGCGGUAAUACAGAGGUGGCAAGCGUUGUUCGGAAUUACUGGGCGUAAAGGGCGCGUAGGCGGCCCUCUAAGUCAGACGUGAAAUCCCCCGGCUUAACCUGGGAACUGCGUCUGAUACUGGAGGGCUUGAGUAUGGGAGAGGGAUGUAGAAUUCCAGGUGUAGCGGUGAAAUGCGUAGAUAUCUGGAGGAAUACCGGUGGCGAAGGCGGCAUCCUGGACCAUUACUGACGCUGAGGCGCGAAAGCUAGGGGAGCAAACAGGAUUAGAUACCCGCGUAGUCCCUGAGCGGGCUGGCAAGGCGCAU